GAGACGGGGUUUCACCAUAUUGUCCAGGAUGGUCUCGAUCUCUUAACCUUGUGAUCCGCCCAGCUCGGCCUCCCAAAGUGCUGGGAUUACAGGCGUGAGCCACGGAGCCCGGCCCUCUGAUUCUUUUUGUCUAUCACUCUGUGCACUCAUUCAUUCAAGACAUUUAUGUAGGUGCCCCGCGUUCCUCUGCAGUUCUCCACUACUCUGGCUUUUCUCUAAUACAAUUUAUUUUGUGUUAUUAUUUCUUUAAGACAGAGUCUCACUCUGUCGCCCAGGCUGGAGUGCAGUGGUGCGAUCUCGGCUCACUGCAACCUCUGCCUUCCAGGUUCAAGAGAUUCUCCUGCCUCAGCCUCCCGAGUAGCCAGGACUACAGGCGUGCGCCACCACACCUGGCUAAUGUUUUUGUAUUUUUUGAUAGAGACGGGGUUUCACCAUGUUGCUCAGGCUGGUUGCGAACUCCUGACCAUGAAUGAUACCUCCACCUUGGCCUCCCAAAGUGCUGGGAUUACAGGCGUGAGCCACCAGGCCCGGCCAAUUUAUUUUAUUUUUAAAGUAUUAUCAUUUUUGUUAUUUGAGACAGCAGUGGCGCGAUCACUGCAGCCUCGACCUCCUGGGUUCAAGUGAUCCUCCCACCUCAGCCUCCCGAGUAGCUGGGACUACAGGCGCAUGCCACCACACCCCGCUAAUUUUUUUCAACUUUUUUUUGUAGGGAUGGGGUCUCGCUAUAUUGCCCAGGCUGGUCUCGAACUCUUGGGCUCAAGAGAUCCUCCCUCCUUGGCCUCCCAAAGUAAUGAGGUUUCAGUCGUGAGCCACUGCACCUGGCCUAACACAGUUUUUUGUUUUUGUUUCUGUUUUUGGUUUUUUUGAGACGGAGUCUCGCUCUUGUUGCCCAAGCUGGAGUGCAAUGGCACGAUCUCGGCUCACUGCAACCUCCGCCUCCCGUGUUCAAGCGAUUCUCCUGCCUCAGCCUCCCAAGUGGCUGGGAUUACAGGCGCACGCCGCCACGCCCGGCUAAUUUUUGGUAUUUGUAGUAGAAACGGGGUUUCACCAUGUUAGCCAGGCUGGGCGCGAACUCCUGACCUCAGGUAGUCCACCCGCCUUGGCCUCCCAAAGUGCUGGGAUUACAGGCGUGAGCCACCGCAGUCCGGCUCUAAUAUAGUUUUUAAAUUCAUUCAUUCCAAGGCUUUUGGGAGGCGCUCAGUGGCGUGCAGUUUCCUCUCGAAUUUCUUUCUUCCCGCAGUCUUUCUGGGCGGGCGUCUCCCGUCUGUUUCUUCCCAUCUUCCCCCUUAUCAUCCUGGGACUGGAUAAUUCUUGAAUAGUCUGGGAGGUAGCAGGGAACCCGAGUUCGGAGCCUCGACCAGAACCUCCAGACGGGAAAUUGGAGCAGGUGGUGUCGUUCCUGGACGCUGAGGACCCCCUCCUCCCCUAACGCACAGCCCAACGAUCCUAAAAGUUUCUUCCCCAGGGAACAGAGCUUGAGCGGGGGGCCACCCCCCCGUCCUACCGGAGUUCUGAGGUGCGGUCAGGCGCGGAGAGCGGACGCCCAGCGCCAGAUUCUGUGGGCUCCGGAGUUCAGGCCCACUGAGCCGCAGCUGAGCACAGGCGGGGCAGGAAAAAGGAUGAGGUUCAUUAGCCCCGCUUCCUCGUCCCUGCUCGUCUUCUGCCGGACCAGUCCGCCAUCUUGUGACCGGACUCGGGAAUAGCGUCCUACUUCCCGGCGGCCUCCACUCUUGACCCAAAUGCAAUGUGCAGCCAUGGCAAUCUUUUAUAAACAGAAAUCCGAUCAAGUUACUCCUCUGCCGAAAUCCCUCUGGUCAGUGGUUUAACUGUCGAGGUGCUCCUGGCAGCACUCUGCCCUCCCCACAUCAUUGCUGGUGGACUUGUCUCCCCUACUAGACUGUGCCCUGUGAGGGUGGAGACUGUGCAGGGUUGUAUCCCCAACACCUGAUGCAGUGAUUCAAUAAACAUCUGUCCAAUUAAUAGG
Pan troglodytes (chimpanzee) is the source of this 1984-nucleotide long non-coding RNA. RefSeq lists it as uncharacterized. The record is from RefSeq and is a predicted model, not a curated record. The transcript has 3 exons. NCBI's taxonomy places the organism in Eukaryota, Metazoa, Chordata, Mammalia, Primates, Hominidae.